This 466-nucleotide ribosomal RNA is filed under the name uncultured bacterium. RNAcentral describes it as "partial 16S ribosomal RNA". It matches the Rfam family "Bacterial small subunit ribosomal RNA", at positions 30 to 507 of the family's 1533-position model. The record is from RNAcentral.
CGAACGCUGGCGGCGCGCCUAACACAUGCAAGUCGAACGGAGCUGAGAGAAGCUUGCUUUUCUUAGCUUAGUGGCGAACGGGUGAGUAACGCGUGAGUAACCUGCCCUGGAGUGGGGGACAACAGUUGGAAACGACUGCUAAUACCGCAUAAGCCCACGAUCCGGCCUCGGAUUGAGGGAAAAGGAUUUAUUCGCUUCAGGAUGGACUCGCGUCCAAUUAGCUAGUUGGUGAGGUAACGGCCCACCAAGGCGACGAUUGGUAGCCGGACUGAGAGGUUGAACGGCCACAUUGGGACUGAGACACGGCCCAGACUCCUACGGGAGGCAGCAGUGGGGGAUAUUGCACAAUGGGGGAAACCCUGAUGCAGCGACGCCGCGUGGAGGAAGAAGGUUUUCGGAUUGUAAACUCCUGUCGUUAGGGACGAUAAUGACGGUACCUAACAAGAAAGCACCGGCUAACUACGUG